UGAGGAAUUUUCCACAAUGGACGAAAGUCUGAUGGAGCAAUACCGCGUGCAGGAUGAAGGCCUUCGGGUCGUAAACUGCUUUUUAUAAGGAGCAACUAUGAGUUUACUUAUAGAAUAAGUCACGGCUAAUCACGUGCCAGCAGCCGCGGUAAUACGUGAGUGGCAAGCGUUAUCCGGAAUCAUUGGGCGUAAAGCGUCCGUAGGGGGGUGUUCAAGUGAAAUGUUAAAUUCUUCGACCCAAUCGAAGGCCUGCGUUUCAUACUGUUCACCUAGAAGAUGGGAGAGGUAAAUAGAAUUUCUGGAGUAGGGGUAAUAUCCGUAGAGACCAGAAGGAAUACCAAUAGCGAAGGCAAUUUACUGGCCCAUUCUUGACCCUCAAGUGACGAAAGCGUGGGGAGCA
Molecule: ribosomal RNA, 400 nt
Filed under: uncultured bacterium
Lineage: Bacteria
Description: bacterial SSU rRNA
Rfam family: Bacterial small subunit ribosomal RNA
Source: RNAcentral